RNAcentral lists this ribosomal RNA (828 nucleotides) under Bacillus subtilis. RNAcentral describes it as "bacterial SSU rRNA". It matches the Rfam family "Bacterial small subunit ribosomal RNA", at positions 517 to 1345 of the family's 1533-position model. The record is from RNAcentral. Lineage: Bacteria; Bacillati; Bacillota; Bacilli; Caryophanales; Bacillaceae.
GCGGUAAUACGUAGGUGGCAAGCGUUGUCCGGAAUUAUUGGGCGUAAAGGGCUCGCAGGCGGUUUCUUAAGUCUGAUGUGAAAGCCCCCGGCUCAACCGGGGAGGGUCAUUGGAAACUGGGGAACUUGAGUGCAGAAGAGGAGAGUGGAAUUCCACGYGUAGCGGUGAAAUGCGUAGAGAUGUGGAGGAACACCAGUGGCGAAGGCGACUCUCUGGUCUGUAACUGACGCUGAGGAGCGAAAGCGUGGGGAGCGAACAGGAUUAGAUACCCUGGUAGUCCACGCCGUAAACGAUGAGUGCUAAGUGUUAGGGGGUUUCCGCCCCUUAGUGCUGCAGCUAACGCAUUAAGCACUCCGCCUGGGGAGUACGGUCGCAAGACUGAAACUCAAAGGAAUUGACGGGGGCCCGCACAAGCGGUGGAGCAUGUGGUUUAAUUCGAAGCAACGCGAAGAACCUUACCAGGUCUUGACAUCCUCUGACAAUCCUAGAGAUAGGACGUCCCCUUCGGGGGCAGAGUGACAGGUGGUGCAUGGUUGUCGUCAGCUCGUGUCGUGAGAUGUUGGGUUAAGUCCCGCAACGAGCGCAACCCUUGAUCUUAGUUGCCAGCAUUCAGUUGGGCACUCUAAGGUGACUGCCGGUGACAAACCGGAGGAAGGUGGGGAUGACGUCAAAUCAUCAUGCCCCUUAUGACCUGGGCUACACACGUGCUACAAUGGACAGAACAAAGGGCAGCGAAACCGCGAGGUUAAGCCAAUCCCACAAAUCUGUUCUCAGUUCGGAUCGCAGUCUGCAACUCGACUGCGUGAAGCUGGAAUCGCUAGUAUCGCU